RNAcentral lists this ribosomal RNA (513 nucleotides) under Triticum aestivum (bread wheat). Its description in RNAcentral is "partial small subunit ribosomal RNA". Lineage: Eukaryota; Viridiplantae; Streptophyta; Magnoliopsida; Poales; Poaceae. The record is from RNAcentral.
AUGGUGAAGGAGAAGGGAAAGGGUGCUGGUAAGGAGAAUGGGAAGGCGAAGGGUGCUGGUAAGGAGAAUGGCAAGGCGAAUGGGAAGGCGAAGGCAAAGGAAAAGAGCUUGAAUUACCUAAUUAGGCAAGAUUCGCCGCUGCCUCUGCCGGUUCCGAGGAAGAAGAGCAAACCUAAGGUGCAGAUUAGGAAGGAGAAAGACUUUCCCAAUGCCCCAAUGGGAGAGUUGAUUUGUAGCUUAAAAAAACACCCUCCACCUCCUCCGCGUCUCCCUGACCGCACCGGUGCCGGCGUGCGUGCCGCGGAAGCCGCUGCCUCCGGCUCCGCAAUCGGCUCCGAGCUGCCUCAUGCAUCUACUAUUGUGGUAGAGGACGAGGAGAAGGAGGAGGACGACGAGGACGAGGAGAAGGAGAAUGAGGAGGACGACGAGGACGAGGACAUAGAUGAGGACAAGGACAAGGAAUAUGAGGAGCAGAAUCUGUUUGUGGUUCCUCCAUUGCAAGCGGGCUGGUGA